Caenorhabditis elegans is the source of this 1530-nucleotide long non-coding RNA. Ensembl annotates it as ncRNA. Its record names the gene linc-113. NCBI's taxonomy places the organism in Eukaryota, Metazoa, Nematoda, Chromadorea, Rhabditida, Rhabditidae. The record is from Ensembl.
AUGUUCGUUUUCUCACUUUUCCCCAUAUCUUCCCACUCAAUAAAUCUCGAAUUUCGCUUUCCUCUAAGCCGGAUUGAAAGCUUGUGCCAAUUUCCGCUUGUCUUCGGAUGAUCUUUUACUCAGUUAGAAUCGAGUUUUUGUUGUGAAUAACCGAAAUAGAUAUUUCAAUGGUACUCUAGUUGGAUUUAUGUAAAAAUUUAAGUAUAUUGGUUUUCAUUUAUAUUUGAUUUUUGUAAAUGUUGAAUACCGUAUUUUUUAUAUUAAUAUUGCACCCAAAUACAUCUUCAAGAGCCUUCUUAAGAGUAUUUUAAAUUUUAGCUUUAAAUCAUUUUCAAAUGUUUUUUAUGGUUCCACAUAUUUCUUCCCGCACUGAAGCAUUAAAUUUUUGAAGUGAGAAACUAGUAAUCUUCAACUGAAUGUAAUCCUCCAAAAUAUAGUUUUGCAGUCUAUACUGUAUUUUAUUUUCUAUCCGCCUAAAUAAAUUGAAGAUAGAAAUACAACUCAUCGUACUAAAACAUUUCCUAUCAACCUGGCAACCUGUUUAUUGAUCGUAACUAAUCAACUUUUGUAAUAAUUAUCUAAUAGUUUGAUGAUUUGUUUGUGUUCAUCAAUGUACUGUAAUGAACCACCUAUCUUUAUUAGCACCAUCUGUUCAAUUGCACAGUGGUUAUGGUUUAUUUGACUAGAGGGCUCCGAAACUUUUUAUAUUAGAGGACCCAUAGUGUGAGGAGUGAUUUCUUGCGAAGAGCUGGUUCUCAUGUUGCAUGGGUUCUAAUUUUAAUAAGUGAGUGGAGAAUUAAAUCACCGACAUAAAUAAUCCUUAUAGUUGGUUCCCAUGCAGUCGUUUUCUGUAAUAUUCCCGAAAUACUUGAACAAGUUGGAAAGGCGGUGAAUUGUCUUGUUGUGUCAUCAAUAUGUUAUGUUCCCAUAUUAACAUCAAAUCCUCUUGCGGUGUGCACUUAUAGGACUCUCAUUUGGAGAAUAGUAUCUGUGCAAAGAUGGUGCUUUGUGUGGAAUGAAUUUAUUUUUCAACAUUUUCGAUAGAUAUAAAAUGUAUUUUUUGCAGAUUUCAGAUUAUAUCGGAUCUCGAGAAAAAUCGGUUUCCCAGUUAUUGCAACACGCCAUAAAUAAUGAAACCAAUAAAAUAAUCUAAACAACUAGCGGAUGUCGGACGUCGGUUAAGUCGGGGUUUCCUGGCUUUAAACAAAUUCUCAAGGGACACUGUUCUACAACACCGAUAACACACUGUCGCGUAGCUCUCACAUUUGGUAUUCCAUUUUUUGUGAUCUUCAAAGUUAUAUUUUCCCUGGCACAAGUAAGUACGACUCUUGUCAUAUUAUCAACAGUGAUAAAACGAUAAAAGAAUGGCCACCAUUCAAACUCAGCAACAUGCAAAUCAGAAGUGACCACAACCAGGCACCCGGCUCCCACACUUUAUAUUCGUUUCCUCCACUUUUUUGCUCUUUUUUUGAACACAAGCACUUGACUUAGUUUGAACAUGGAGAGUUUGAAUAUAUGUAAUUGAAUAGU